UUUUAUGCUUGCAUAAAUGAUUUUUGGAUUCGGAGCGAGUGGCGAACUGGUGAGUAACACGUGGGUAACCUGCCCCGAAGCGGGGGAUAACAUUUGGAAACAAGUGCUAAUACCGCAUAAUUAGUUGGAACCGCAUGGUUCCAACUUGAAAGAUGGCUCUGCUAUCACUUUGGGAUGGACCCGCGCCGUAUUAGUUAGUUGGUGAGAUAAAAGCCCACCAAGACGAUGAUACGUAGCCGACCUGAGAGGGUAAUCGGCCACAUUGGGACUGAGACACGGCCCAGACUCCUACGGGAGGCAGCAGUAGGGAAUCUUCCACAAUGGACGAAAGUCUGAUGGAGCAACGCCGCGUGAGUGAUGAAGGUUUUCGGAUCGUAAAACUCUGUUGUUAAAGAAGAACAAGUGUUAGAGUAACUGUUAACACUUUGACGGUAUUUAACCAGAAAGCCACGGCUAACUACGUGCCAGCAGCCGCGGUAAUACGUAGGUGGCAAGCGUUGUCCGGAUUUAUUGGGCGUAAAGCGAGCGCAGGCGGUUUUGUAAGUCUGCUGUGAAAGCCCUCAGCUCAACUGAGGAAGUGCAGUGGAAACUACAAAACUUGAGUACAGAAGAGGAAAGUGGAACUCCAUGUGUAGCGGUGAAAUGCGUAGAUAUAUGGAAGAACACCAGUGGCGAAGGCGGCUUUCUGGUCUGUUACUGACGCUGAGGCUCGAAAGCAUGGGUAGCGAACAGGAUUAGAUACCCUGGUAGUCCAUGCCGUAAACGAUGAAUACUAGGUGUUGGGAGGGUUUCCGCCCUUCAGUGCCGCAGCUAACGCAUUAAGUAUUCCGCCUGGGGAGUACGACCGCAAGGUUGAAACUCAAAGGAAUUGACGGGGGCCCGCACAAGUGGUGGAGCAUGUGGUUUAAUUCGAUGCUACGCGAAGAACCUUACCAGCUCUUGACAUCUUCUGCCAACCCAAGAGAUUGGGCGUUCCCUUCGGGGACAGAAUGACAGGUGGUGCAUGGUUGUCGUCAGCUCGUGUCGUGAGAUGUUGGGUUAAGUCCCGCAACGAGCGCAACCCUUAUUAUUAGUUGCCAGCAUUUAGUUGGGCACUCUAGUGAGACUGCCGGUGAUAAACCGGAGGAAGGUGGGGACGACGUCAAAUCAUCAUGCCCCUUAUGAGCUGGGCUACACACGUGCUACAAUGGAUGGUACAACGAGUCGCGAAACCGCGAGGUCAAGCUAAUCUCUUAAAGCCAUUCUCAGUUCGGAUUGCAGGCUGCAACUCGCCUGCAUGAAGUUGGAAUCACUAGUAAUCGUGGAUCAGCAUGCCACGGUGAAUACGUUCCCGGGCCUUGUACACACCGCCCGUCACACCAUGAGAGUUUGUAACACCCAAAGACG
This 1386-nucleotide ribosomal RNA is filed under the name Apilactobacillus sp. Its description in RNAcentral is "bacterial SSU rRNA". It matches the Rfam family "Bacterial small subunit ribosomal RNA". Lineage: Bacteria; Bacillati; Bacillota; Bacilli; Lactobacillales; Lactobacillaceae. The record is from RNAcentral.